AAUGCUGCGGGCUUUCAGCAACCUGCAGCCAUUCCCUUCUUGCUGCUGAUGGGGGUGCAAGGCUCUGCGGGCUGCUCUUCACAGAGGGUGCAGCCCUUGCUGUUUGUAGAAAUUCAACCCCAAACUGUCUCUUGAUGGUGUAAGAAUUUUCCAGACUAGGUCCCCCGACAAAUCCUGGGGAAGAGAGGGGGGCUCCUUUCCUUUAUCAUAUCUGCCUGAUUGACUGAAAACCAUCAGUGACAUAUUUCCCCUUACAUUUAGUUUUUGGUUUACCUUCCGGAGCUUGCAAUAGCUGUUUCCUUCCCCUCAGUUUGCUCAGAUGUCCAGGUUCUUACAGAUAGCGAAACCGAGACCUAGAGGGGUGAAAGACGACCCGAGAGCGAAUGGGAGAGCCCCCCAGGAACCCAGACUGCUAGGCUUUUGAUGAGCUGCAUAAAUGGGCCAGUCAUUAAUUGGCAAGUGCUGACAUCAGGGAUAAACUGGUGAGAUUACAAAGCCUUUUGUCCCAUCUUGUGUGUACCUUACAGAGUCUUUUCAUUGUAUCCCCAACACCUGACAGGGUGCUGGGCACAGGGCAGAUGCUUGAAUAAAUGAAAUUUCGUGUAGUUAUAACAUUGGAGGGGUCAGCAUCAUUGUGAGGUGUUUUAGAACAGUGGUCCGUAGAUUUUGUACUUUUGCCCUUCACAGAUCAGUUUUUUUUAGUUUUCAUCAGGAGCAAUGCCACAAAAUUAUCAACUUUUAACCUUAUCCCACAAGGGUUUUUGUUUGUUUGUUUGCUUGUUUGCAAAUAAAACCCUGCCAUUAUCCACAAGGCUAAUGGUGUCAGCAUCACCCCAGGCCAGCUCCCUGGGCCAGUGGAAUGCGCUUGGAGUCCCUUCCUUAAGUUUACCCUUUCAUCAUGUAAACAGCUCCAGACCGCUUCCUCUCCCACCCACAGAAUUGCCUGCUGGCCUGCCCUCAAUAUGAUUCCUGUCCUGGAUCCCUCAUUUCCUUUCCUGGUCCUGAGUCCCUUCUCUUCAACCGGGUCUCCCUGCUCUCCAUUUAAGAGACGUUGCCUUCACCCAGGGCACUUUUGCAUUGUGAUCCCAUGUGAUCCCGGCAUCUACCUUUUUAGGUAAAUAGGCUGGGUGAUGUCACCCCCAUUUUUGAGGGAAGGAAAUUGAAAGACUGAACUGAAGGAAGUUACUGAAAGGCUCAAGGCUCAGGCUUCCCGGCGUCUGACUGUGCUCGUUCUGUAUUACUGCACUCUUCUUGUCACGGCCCAGCUGUCCUCAUCAGAAGACCUGGGCUUGACUCCACACUGUUGGAGCUCUUUGACUUUGGGUCCCAGCUUCUACAAGACCACUUUCUCAUGUAGAAAAAUGGAAAUGAUCAUGUCUACCCUAUGGCAUUAUGGGUGUUAUAUGAAAUUAACUUAUGAAACGUAAUGACAACCUUUAACGUUGUACAUUUAGGGACGAUCACACACGAUUCCCCUGGAUCUUUACAAUGCUUGCCUGAGUUCGUGAAACUAAGAUUCACCCCAAUUUGACGAAUGAAUGACCCUGAGACAGGGAACGUCACCCAGGUGGUUAGAAGCAGAACUAGCAUGGAAUUCUGUCUCUGGACUUCUGGUCCUAUGUGCAUUCUCUUAUGCCUCUGCUUCCCAGAGUCCAAUGAACUUGGGUCCUGUACAGGUUAAAUGAAGGAUUUUCAAAUAACCAUCAAAACAAACAUCUCUCUUGGCUGUAAGUGUCUCUUUGCAGGUGGAAGCCUUGAGAUCCAUGCCCAUCUGAUCAGGGAAUCUGUACAGCACAUUGUUCAUCCCUUGGUGCUGACUUUAGCUUCUCAGACCGUCGGGUUCUAACGAUCUGUGAUUCUUUGAGAGGGAGCGUGACUUUCCCCCAGCAGCUUUUAAAAUGGUCUCUCUGCUGUGUCAAACUAGAAGCAUGUGGCCCACUUCUCUGGACCCCCUGAGCCUGACAAAAUGUUGUAUCAAAAGGACAAGGAAGGCGACUGCUACGGUGGAAGACAGCGAGGGCUUUCUGGCUCGACACUUUUACCUCCGGUUUUAAAGUCUUCCUGUUCAGGUGUUGCCCGUUCUUGUAAAGGGCUCAGAUUUCCAUCCCACUGAUGGAGAGGAGGCUGCCAAGGGCUAACCUAAUAUUUGGGGUGGGAAGUGCGUUUUGUGAGGAGGCAGAAGUGGUUUCCUUUUUCACCCCGAACUCAUUUCAUUUCCCAUCCUAGAGGAGAAGGCAGGCAUUGUCCUGCAAAACUGCCCUCAGCCAUUGCCAGCCUGGUGCUUCUUUUCCCAAAGUAGCCUUGUUUUGGCCUUCAUUUCUUCCUGUGGCAUGGAAAGUGUAAUCCCUGGUUUGUGCUGAGUUUUGCGGAGCCCUGCGACAAACUGCACUUACCCACUGUCCUUUUAGUGGUGCCAGUGCUGCGUGGAACCAGGAUUUGAACACAGCAGUCAGAUGGGAAGAUGGGGGCGGGGGGAGGUGGUGGUGGUGAAGAGUGGAUGUGUGAGAGCCCCAGGAGCCAGGAAUGACGUGGGAUUAGCGUGGGUAAUGGAACAGAAAAAGAACAAAUGACGAGUGGGGCGUUUUGCAACACAAAAGGCUUGAUGAGGCAUACCUGGGUACCUGCACACGAUGAUCUGUUUCUGCCCCUGGGAUGCAAACCACUCCUGACUGCUUUGCACAAGAAUGCAGAGAGUUCUGGAAAUCUUCUCACGUGUGCCGAAGAUCGCCAACGUAAAUUUUGCCCGAAUGAGCAGAAGCUUGGGAGACUCUGAAAAGCAUUCACCGGGGCAUGUAGAGGCACAGAAGGAAGAGAGCGGGAGGAAGUUGCUUGGGUCCUCGCGGCAGCCUGGGGAGGCCGCUGGAAUCCUGGUUUGGGAAAGACAUCAACAGGCCCGAGCCUCAGAGUCCUGCACGUGCCCAGGGUCGGAAGCCGUGACCCCGGAAAAUCAGCCUGAGCCUGACUGGUUUGCAUCCCAGGGGCAGCUUUGCCCUGGCCCUGGUCCACGUGGCCCGGCCUAGCUCCCAGGCGGCAGGCGAGAACUUGCCCUUCGUCUGUCGUCGGGAGUGAGAGGAAAGGAAGGCCUGUCUUGUUGGCAGGUGCCAGGCUGGAAGCCAGCGGGGAUCGCCUUGGCCGCGCUGGCCUGCACCCUCUCUGUCCGUCUCCCCCUCUCCCGUGUGUCCGCGAAGGUCCUGACCCUCUCGCUUUUGUAAGAUUCGCUCUCCGCUGGCCACUUGGAUUAGGGGCAGACGUGAGCCUCACGGUCAUCUGGGGCACAAAGACUCUCAGCUGGUUGGGACAUUUGAUCCCCUUUGUUUCAGACGUGUUUGAAAUCCGAGGAGCUGAAUAUUCAGUAGAGUAAGGUCUGACCAUCACGGGUCCGUGACAGAUUUAAAACCAAAAGACACCUUAGCAGCAUCUGGUCCAGCCUCCUUGUUUUGUAGACGAGGGACCAUGGCAUCGGAUGAGAAGUGGGGCUCCUGGAUUCACGGUGCGGGCUGUGUGCCACCAGGGGGCAGGUGUAGCCCCUACUUGUCCUAGUCACCCGCCUCUAUGCCAUCUCAGCUUGCACGGUGGCUCGAGGGCCCUGACUCACCUCCGCUCCAGAAGCAGCCUGGUUAGAUGCAAGCAUCUAACUGGAUUAGGGGCCAGAGACCUGAACUGUGCGACUGUCUGGGACCCCCCCCCCUCCCCGCUUCUGAGCUUCUGUGACCCCUUCCUUCAUCUCUCAGGUGUGUCCGGCUCAUUCACUGUGAGUUUCCCCUUUCACAAGUUGUGUCCCUCUUGUUCCCUGGAGUCUGCUCUCCAAGAGUAGGAACGCAGACCUGAGCCGUAGGUGCUGUCCCCUGAAGCAGUCCCCGCUGUUUAUUCAAAUUCCCUACCGUUCCAAGUAAGGUCCGGCAGUAGCACCUAUAGGAACAUGAGUUGGGUUACAUUUAAACUUAAAUAUGAAAAAUUAUCUUUCUUGGGGAGCUUCAGUUUUCAAGGCAGCCCUUGCUCUCGGCCCGCUCAAACUCCUCUGACAGUCAAGUCGUUUUGUUGCCGCAGCUGGGAGAUGUGUCUUUUUCUUUUUUUUUCAUGUUUAUUUUGGAGAGAGUGUGGGCAGGGGAGGGGCAGAGAGUGAGGGAGACGCAGAAUCCGAAGCAGGCUCCAGGCCCUGAGCUGUCAGCACAGAGCCCAGCGCGGGGCUCGAACUCACGAGCCACGAGAUCGUCACCUGAGCCAAAACCAAGAGUCAGAUGCUUAACCGACCAAGCGUCCCAAGGGGAUGUGUUUGUAAUGCCCCAGUAGAGACAGUGGAGUGUGUCUGACAGGAGAAUUCAUUGUCGCGUGCGUUAAGUUACGGGCAUUUUGGUGAGCAGCUAAACAUAACCGGGAAGCUUCCGCCAUGCGUCUUGGAGAACUGACAUCUGCCAGUGGAGAUGUGGAUGUCCGAGGACCCAAGAUACAUACACGAAAACUUGGCGUUCCUGCCUUGUUAUCCACGUUCUUAGACGCGGGAGAGCCGUGUUUGCCCAAGAGGUUACAGGGACGUUCUGAGUUGGGUGCACCAGGUGGAAAUGAGUUUCUCCACCCUCGGCUGCACCCCUGCGUACCGCACACGGUGACCGGCCACCUCUCCCUCCGCUCUCUUCUCUAGAACCCGGGGGGACCCUGCCGUGCUUCCCUUCCUGUAUCUCUGCCUGGGAUUUUCUCUUUGGAAUGGUCUCCUGAGUGAGAGUCCAGGAUUGUUUGUUUAACAGGAGGAAACUUCGGGAAGGCCUACGUGUGGCCCCACUCUUUCAUGUCUUUUUUUUUAAUAGGCAGGUUUGAGGCGGAGAAACCGUAGGGUGAGACCUUGGUUGUACUGGAUCCCAAAAGGCAAGAAAACAGAAUUUCUGGAGCUUAUUAUUCAGAUAUUCUUAGAUUUUUGCCCGCUAAAUUAUACUAGGGGUGGAGGGGAGUCUAAAUUUCAUUCUGUAUGAUCCCUUUCAGUACAGUGGCUAAAAUGUAAGACUCUGUAGAUUUUACAUCAUAUCUUUGUGGUUAAAAAGGGUAAGGAUCCAUUUCUUGGGCCCCACAGCUAAAAUCAGAAGUCUACCUCAUGUAUGUACUUUUAUAGCAGCAGAGUUAUAGUCUAUCAUUCUUAUUAAAAGCUCUCACUUCCCACCCUUUCCUCCCUUAAAGAUCGUUGUCAAGCCCCAUGGAACCGAAUGUUACCUGUACUCUAAGCAUUACUAGGCAUUUUUUGAAAAACCCUUUUGUGACUUCUUCAGCCAUGUUACUUUUUAUGGAGUAGGAAGUGUAGACGUUGUGAUCUUGCUAGAAGGCUUCAGGACAUUAGGACGUUAGAAAUCCUAUCUUGAGUCUCUGAGUCUAACUCGUCAUAAGAAAUGGGGGCAAUGAGAUGGAGGGGACUUUACUCAAGGUCACGUGGCGGGACAGGGGCCAGGCCAAGCUGGGACCCGGGACUCUUAUCCGUGGGCAGAGCAUGCCUUCCCAGAGUCUGUGAAGCAGCUGGGGGGGGGGGGGGGAGGGGUUGGGGGCAGGCGUCUGGAGAAGAUGUUAGCCUGUCCUUUGAAAGCAAAGUCAUUGGAGUAGUCUCGCGUGACCUUUGAGGGAAUUUGGGUCUUUUUUUUGGACGAAUACAGUCACCGUGGCGAGGAAGAGCCUCAAGGUCAUAGUUGUACCUGGAAAAGACUGAGUGGCUGUCGUCUUGUUUCAGGAUGACUUGGGGGGUGCACAGAGCUAAUCGCUGAUACCUUUUUCUUACCC
This is a long non-coding RNA of Acinonyx jubatus (cheetah), 5754 nucleotides long. RefSeq lists it as uncharacterized. The transcript has 3 exons. The record is from RefSeq and is a predicted model, not a curated record. NCBI's taxonomy places the organism in Eukaryota, Metazoa, Chordata, Mammalia, Carnivora, Felidae.